RNAcentral lists this transfer-messenger RNA (373 nucleotides) under Candidatus Nanopelagicaceae. Its description in RNAcentral is "QYPT01 sp009700405 Standard tmRNA". It matches the Rfam family "transfer-messenger RNA". Rfam says of the family: Bacterial tmRNA, also known as 10Sa RNA or SsrA, is named for its dual tRNA and mRNA-like properties. Its role is to liberate the mRNA from a stalled ribosome. The record is from RNAcentral. RNAcentral also lists the same sequence under 1 other name. Lineage: Bacteria; Bacillati; Actinomycetota; Actinomycetes; Candidatus Nanopelagicales.
GGGGGUGAACGGUCUCGACUUUGGAUGUUGGGGCAGGGGAAGCGGGCCGAGGAAGCCAGGAUGAUCUCGUUAACCAAUAACCUGUGCAAAAAACUAAGCGCCAGUACAACUGCCGCUGAUUACGCCCUAGCUGCAUAAGCUAGCCUCGUGAUCCGUUAGCCCGAGUGAGCCUUCGAUUCGGAACCUAGCGCCGUAAGAGGGCUUUUCAUGGUGUUGGCUUUGCGAACAACACCAGAGAACAGUUUCGCAAAUGAGUUCGUCGGGUACUUGUGUGUAAGAGAUCCGGAACUGAGAAAACGACAAACGCACUACGCCCGUAGAAGCCCUGUUUUGGUACCGAAGGACCCGGGUUCGAUUCCCGGCACCUCCACUC